Molecule: non-coding RNA, 2515 nt
Organism: Vicugna pacos (alpaca)
Lineage: Eukaryota; Metazoa; Chordata; Mammalia; Artiodactyla; Camelidae
Source: RefSeq, a predicted model, not a curated record
UGCAACGGGGAGGAAGCGGCGGGGACGGGUGCCAAGGAGCAGAGCGCAGGCGCUUCUGGGCGCCAGGAAGCUCAGUCUAGCACAGCAAAGUGGCAAAAAGGAAGAACAAAACAGCCGUCUAUUUAGAAGAGUAACGACAGGGAAAAAUACAUUUUCAUCAGCUCGUCUUCUCGCGGCUGAGUCCCCGCAGCAAGCUCCAAACGCCGACGUUAGGAAAUAAAUCAAAAUAACUUUGCUGUGUUUAGCCUCGUGUUGCCGCGUCCCUCAGCUCUGCGCUGAAAAGCAACAGUGUACCAGGCACUGCGCUCAGCUCGGAAUAAGGAAAUGGAUUGACCUCGGCCCCUGCUUUCAGGAAGUCGACGGUCAGAUGAAGAACAUGGUUGUUUAAGUAAACUUUAAAAGCACAGCGGAGGAUGAUGGUACAACAGCAAAGAGUUUUUCAAGACACAGAAGCAGCGUGGAGGAGCAGCUGACUACGUUAGUCCUCUUGGAGGGUGAGGCAGGGAGGGCUUCCCGGAGGAGGUGAUAUGUAAUCUGAGUUUUACAGGAGGAACAGAAGUUGCUGUAUGGAUAGAAGGGGCAGUGCAGGGAACGGCAAGUGGAAACAGGCCCUGGGGUGGAGGAAACUCCUGAAAGGACCGUGAGCCACGCCAAGGGGUAAGGUGGGGCCACGGAUGGGGAGGUUGUGAGGGGGAGAAAGUGGUUGAUUCUAGCUUGGAAGCUUAGGGGUGCUGGGGUAGGGAGCCCAACAGGUCAGUCUAGUGAGGGCAAGAGAGCCACGUGUUCUCUGAACCUGGGUUUCUCAGCCUUGACACCACUGACAGUUUGGCCCAGAUAAUUUUUUGUUGUGGGGGCCGUUCUGUGUGUGUCGUAAGAUGCCUGACAGCAACCCAGCCUCCUCCCACUUGGUGCCCGUAGCACCUGCCCUCUCCCCCUCCCCACCCACCUGCAUUUUGACAACCAGAAAUGUCUCCUGACAUUGCCAAAUAUCUCCUGGGUGUCAAAAGUGCCCCCGGUGGGAAACCGCUGCUCUAGACUCUCAUCGUGUAGGAGAGAAGGAGAAACACGCAAGAAACGGGAGGCAGCGAAGGCUCGGAGACGUCGAGUAACUGCCCAAGGUGCACAGGCAAGAGAAAGCAGAGCGGGCAGCAACCCCAGCGACACCAGCUGAGAGCCGGCUGCUCCCCGCCCUCCGGCCCCUGACCCCUUGGGGCCCAUUUUUCAGAGGGAGAAGCAGAGGCGCAGAGACAAUGAACAACCCGAGAGGCCACAGAGCAAAGUGGGUAAGGGCCCUGGAGCUGGAUUGGCUCAGGCCCCGCUCCUGCCACUCAGUAGCUGGGCGCCUCCAGGAGAGGGCUUAGCCUCUGUCUGCCUCGGCUUCCCCACCUGCCACAUGGGGAUAACAGCCCCUGACUUACAGAAUGGCGCGGAUGCUAAGAGCUGAGAGCUUGCCGGCAGGCGGCAAGCUCAGGCCGCGUGAGCUCGACCCCGCGAGCUCAACCGUGCGGCGCUGGCGCCCAACAGGGCAGGCGCUCUGCCCGGGGCCCUUCGGCCGCUCGGCACCUCCUCUCGGAGCCUCCUUUGGAAGGUUGCUUGGUGGCCUGUGUUCCUCUCUGAGUCUGGGGUGUCGUGGAGGCGGUUCUCAGCCCCAGCCUGAGCCACAUGUCACCAGUAGGGCACAGCCUGUGGUUUGUGGGUGCCCCGGCCCGGCAAGCCCCAGAAACCUGCCCCAGAGGCCCAGGGCCCUCUGGGGCAGGUCGCAUGGGGCUGGGAACCAGGAGGCGGCAUGUGGAGGAUGGGAACAGGGCUCAGCCCUGGUGAAGGGCUGGAGAGGUGGGGUGGGGGCAGAUGGCAGAGCAGGUCUGGGGGCGGCCUGUGCAGAGGCCUGGGCAGGUUGGAGUGCCAGGCCGCCUGCCAGUCUUGGGUUAGCAGCACCCUCUUUCUGUCUAGGAAUCCUGGUUCUUGGGGUGCUGCCUCCCCGGAGAAAAAUGCUGGUUUUCCAGCCUCCUCUGCAGCCGAGGGGCAGCCAUGGGCCCGGCUCAGCCGACCAGGUGUUCCCACACGAGACACGGAUCUGUAGUGAGGUGUGCACAGGAGCGGGUGUGGGAGGCCCUACUGGGCAGAGAUGCCAGCUGGCCAGUCUCGUUUCCAAGGGACAGCGGCGCGUGGGGCUCGGGGCGGCGUCAGGCGUGCUGGCUGAGGGGCCCGUGGUGUCCCCACGGCCAGGCCUGCAGGGGGGCCCUCAGGCUCCUUCCCAGCCAUAUAGCCUCCGCAUUCGGGUCUCUGAUGCCCCCUCUCCGCUGAGAAACUGAUUGGGGAUCCAACUAAAACCCUGUCGUGAGCUCCUUUCCUCCGGAAGCAGGCUGUUGUCUCCUCUACCCUGGGCGCCCCGACCCCAGCCUCUAACGACGGAUGGAUCUUCUCGGGGGGGUCCUAGCGGGGUUCGGAAGGGCAGCCCUGGGCUCUGCUUUUUGUGACUGACACUUGUACAGGUGAAGUAAAGUUGAAAUCACUA